RNAcentral lists this transfer RNA (57 nucleotides) under Heteroscyphus splendens. RNAcentral describes it as "partial tRNA-Phe". It matches the Rfam family "tRNA", at positions 1 to 55 of the family's 71-position model. Rfam says of the family: Transfer RNA (tRNA) molecules are approximately 80 nucleotides in length. Their secondary structure includes four short double-helical elements and three loops (D, anti-codon, and T loops). The record is from RNAcentral. Lineage: Eukaryota; Viridiplantae; Streptophyta; Jungermanniopsida; Jungermanniales; Lophocoleaceae.
GCCGGAAUAGCUCAGUUGGUAGAGCAGAGGACUGAAAAUCCUCGUGUCACCAGUUUA